Molecule: long non-coding RNA, 447 nt
Filed under: Felis catus (domestic cat)
Lineage: Eukaryota; Metazoa; Chordata; Mammalia; Carnivora; Felidae
Description: lncRNA (ENSFCAG00000048106.1)
Source: RNAcentral
AUGGAGGAAUGCCAUAAUGUCAUCUUUUGGAAAGAGGGAGAGAGUGGUCUUUUGAAUCUGACCACAGAAGAAAAGACUGAAAAGAACAUGCCUGUACCUAUUUUCCAAGAUUUCUUUUGUCCUACAGUUCACUGGCUCCAAGGUGUCGGAACAGGAAACUAUGAUGUUGAAGGGCAUGUUUUCAGUUAUAAGGGAACCAGAAAACCACUAAGGUAUUUCUCUACUUUCACUUUAACUGAUGUUAUCUCUAUUUCUAUUUGUCUUAACCUUAGCUUGGAGAGUUAUUAGGUAGUCGUCCUGAAUUCUUCAUAAUUCCUUUUAAAGAAAGUUGACCAUAUUUUAAACUCUAUAGUUUCUGGAAAUUAAAUGCCAAGUUAUAUUUCCAUACAGUUCACAUAGAAUCUGGAGAACUAUAAUAAAUUAAGGGUGAGUGAAAAUGUGAAUUCA